ACCCAGCUUACGAGUUCCAAAUAAGACGAAACGCGCGUCCUGGAU
Schistosoma haematobium is the source of this 45-nucleotide non-coding RNA. The record is from Rfam. NCBI's taxonomy places the organism in Eukaryota, Metazoa, Platyhelminthes, Trematoda, Strigeidida, Schistosomatidae.